This 253-nucleotide ribosomal RNA is filed under the name uncultured bacterium. Its description in RNAcentral is "partial 16S ribosomal RNA". It matches the Rfam family "Bacterial small subunit ribosomal RNA", at positions 524 to 776 of the family's 1533-position model. The record is from RNAcentral.
UACGUAGGGGGCUAGCGUUGUCCGGAAUCAUUGGGCGUAAAGCGCGUGUAGGCGGUCCGGUAAGUCCGCUGUGAAAGUCGGGGGCUCAACCCUCGAAUGCCGGUGGAUACUGUCGGGCUAGAGUACGGAAGAGGCGAGUGGAAUUCCUGGUGUAGCGGUGAAAUGCGCAGAUAUCAGGAAGAACACCAAUGGCGAAAGCAGCUCUCUGGGACGGUACUGACGCUGAGACGCGAAAGCGUGGGGAGCGAACAGG